RNAcentral lists this ribosomal RNA (433 nucleotides) under uncultured bacterium. RNAcentral's name for it is "partial 16S ribosomal RNA". It matches the Rfam family "Bacterial small subunit ribosomal RNA", at positions 29 to 507 of the family's 1533-position model. The record is from RNAcentral.
GCGCACGCUGGCGGCAGGCCUAACACAUGCAGGUCGAACGAACCUUUCGGGGUUAGUGGCGGACGGGUGAGUAACACGUGGGAACGUGCCUUUAGGUUCGGAAUAACUCAGGGAAACUUGUGCUAAUACCGAAUGUGCCCUUCGGGGGAAAGAUUAAUCGCCUUUAGAGCGGCCCGCGUCUGAUUAGCUAGUUGGUUGAGGUAAUGGCUCACCAAGGCGACGAUCAGUAGCUGGUCUGAGAGGAUGAUCAGCCACAUUGGGACUGAGACACGGCCCAAACUCCUACGGGAGGCAGCAGUGGGGAAUCUUGCGCAAUGGGCGAAAGCCUGACGCAGCCAUGCCGCGUGAAUGAUGAAGGUCUUAGGAUUGUAAAAUUCUUUCACCGGGGACGAUAAUGACGGUACCCGGAGAAGAAGCCCCGGCUAACUUCGUG